Molecule: long non-coding RNA, 532 nt
Filed under: Phoenix dactylifera (date palm)
Lineage: Eukaryota; Viridiplantae; Streptophyta; Magnoliopsida; Arecales; Arecaceae
Description: long non-coding RNA (PDAC_LNC018217)
Source: RNAcentral
UCUCAAUCCAUCUCCAUCCUCCUGCCCUCCAUUUCUCACCUCUCGUCGUCCACCGACGACGGGAUACGCUUCUCCCCGAUUCGUUGAGACGGUUAGGGAGAGCCGUAGAGGCCGGAGAGAGAGAGAGAGAGAGAGAGACGGAAGGGUUGGCAGAGACUCUGCGCCCUUCCCCAGAACCACACGUCAUCACCAGAUACACGAAUCUCAAAGCACGCUUCCGGAGAGAAGGGAGAGCGAGAGCCUAGGCGCAUUAGCGGUACGGUAACGUUACCGUUGUCCGAGGCGGCGAGGAAAGCGCACGCGGGUGGCGGAGAGGCACAGGGCGGGCGACCAUGGGAAUCGGGAAACGUGGCGCGCGGUCGGAGAUCUACAAGGAGAGGAGGAGGAGGAAGGGUUGGGUCGCGGGCGCGAAGUCACGUGACGCCACGUCAGCGGGGUGUCGGUCAAAAACGGGAAGCCGGGCGUCCGUUGGGUCGGCCCACGGGUGCCGUGGGUGGUUCCGCGAGGGCAUGGAAUGGACGGACGGAUGGAG